Molecule: ribosomal RNA, 469 nt
Filed under: Candidatus Daviesbacteria bacterium
Lineage: Bacteria; Candidatus Daviesiibacteriota
Description: bacterial SSU rRNA
Rfam family: Bacterial small subunit ribosomal RNA
Source: RNAcentral
UUUUUUGAGAGUUUGAUCCUGGCUCAGGAUGAACGCUGGCGGCGUGCCUUAAGCAUGCAAGUCAUGGGGGCUCCGCAAGGAGCAACCGGCAGACGGGUGAGUAACGCGUAGGAAUCUACCCUUCAAUGGAGCAUAGCUCAUCGAAAGAUGGGGUAAUUCUCCGUAGUCCCUUACGGGUUUAGAUCUUAACUGAUCGUUGAAGAAUGAGCCUGCGUCCUAUCAGCUAGUUGGUGGGGUAAUGGCCUACCAAGGCUUUGACGGGUAGCUGGACUGAGAGGUCGAUCAGCCACAACUGCACUUAGACACGGGCAGUACACCUACGGGUGGCAGCAACCAGGAAUAUUGGGCAAUGGGCGAAAGCCUGACCCAGCGACGCCGCGUGGAGGAAGACAGCUUUCGGGUUGUAUACUCCUUUUGCCAAGCCACUCUCGGCUUGGAGAAUAAGCCCCUUCUAACUACGUGCCUGAAG